RNAcentral lists this ribosomal RNA (393 nucleotides) under uncultured bacterium. RNAcentral describes it as "partial 16S ribosomal RNA". It matches the Rfam family "Bacterial small subunit ribosomal RNA", at positions 523 to 917 of the family's 1533-position model. The record is from RNAcentral.
AUACGUAGGGAGCGAGCGUUGUCCGGAAUUACUGGGCGUAAAGGGCGCGUAGGCGGCGCUUCAAGUCGGCUGUCAAAUGGGAGGGCUUAACCCUUUUUCGCAGACGAAACUGGAGAGCUUGAGAAGCAGAGAGGCAAACAGAAUUCCUGGUGUAGCGGUGAAAUGCGUAGAUAUCAGGAAGAAUACCAGUGGCGAAGGCGGUUUGCUGGCUGCAUACUGACGCUGAAGCGCGAAAGCCAGGGGAGCAAACGGGAUUAGAUACCCCGGUAGUCCUGGCAGUAAACGAUGUAUGCUGGGUGUGAGACUAGCGAUAGUUUCGUGCCGAAGUUAACGCGAUAAGCAUACCGCCUGGGGAGUACGGUCGCAAGAUUGAAACUCAAAUGAAUUGACGGG